UACAGAGGGGGCAAGCGUUAUUCGGAAUUAUUGGGCGUAAAGGGCGCGUAGGCGGCCAGGCAAGUGGAAGGUGAAAUCCCUCGGCUUAACCGAGGAACUGCCCUCCAAACUGCUUGGCUUGAGACCGGGAGAGGUGAGUGGAAUUCCCAGUGUAGCGGUGAAAUGCGUAGAUAUUGGGAGGAACACCGGUGGCGAAGGCGGCAUCCUGGACCGGCAUUGACGCUGAGGCGCGAAAGCCAGGGGAGCAAACGGG
RNAcentral lists this ribosomal RNA (253 nucleotides) under uncultured bacterium. RNAcentral's name for it is "partial 16S ribosomal RNA". It matches the Rfam family "Bacterial small subunit ribosomal RNA", at positions 524 to 776 of the family's 1533-position model. The record is from RNAcentral.